This 497-nucleotide ribosomal RNA is filed under the name uncultured bacterium. RNAcentral's name for it is "partial 16S ribosomal RNA". It matches the Rfam family "Bacterial small subunit ribosomal RNA", at positions 28 to 507 of the family's 1533-position model. The record is from RNAcentral.
GAUGAACGCUGGCGGCGUGCCUAAUACAUGCAAGUCGAGCGAACAGACGAGGAGCUUGCUCCUCUGACGUUAGCGGCGGACGGGUGAGUAACACGUGGAUAACCUACCUAUAAGACUGGGAUAACUUCGGGAAACCGGAGCUAAUACCGGAUAAUAUAUUGAACAGAAUGGUUCAAUAGUGAAAGACGGUUUUGCUGUCACUUAUAGAUGGAUCCGCGCCGCAUUAGCUAGUUGGUAAGGUAACGGCUUACCAAGGCGACGAUGCGUAGCCGACCUGAGAGGGUGAUCGGCCACACUGGAACUGAGACACGGUCCAGACUCCUACGGGAGGCAGCAGUAGGGAAUCUUCCGCAAUGGGCGAAAGCUUGACGGAGCAACGCCGCGUGAGUGAUGAAGGUCUUCGGAUCGUAAAACUCUGUUAUUAGGGAAGAACAAAUGUGUAAGUAACUAUGCACGUCUUGACGGUACCUAAUCAGAAAGCCACGGCUAACUACGUG